UCUUGACAGCAGAAGCUCCAAUGUCAUUUGAAGUUGAUGGAUCUGGUUUGAACUCAGGAACAUUGAUCGCACCCACCAGUUGUCGCUGUCACCACCAGAGCACACCACGGAAUGCUGCUUGCACUUGGAGCAGUCACCUGUGUAGCGGGAUACAGUUGCAUCUAACACUGCAGGCUCAGAGUUGGAUUCUUCAGCUGUAACAGUUGCUGGCCGUAGUAUCCGUGUUGGACAUGGUCUGUCUCCAGUAUCUGUUGUUACCAGGGAAAGGCCGUCAGGA
Ylistrum balloti is the source of this 277-nucleotide long non-coding RNA. RefSeq lists it as uncharacterized. The transcript is spliced from 3 exons. NCBI's taxonomy places the organism in Eukaryota, Metazoa, Mollusca, Bivalvia, Pectinida, Pectinidae. The record is from RefSeq and is a predicted model, not a curated record.